CUUCGGGUGGGGAUUAGUGGCGAACGGGUGAGUAACACGUGGGCAAUCUGCCCUUCACUCUGGGACAAGCCCUGGAAACGGGGUCUAAUACCGGAUACUGACCUGCCAAGGCAUCUUGGCGGGUCGAAAGCUCCGGCGGUGAAGGAUGAGCCCGCGGCCUAUCAGCUUGUUGGUGAGGUAAUGGCUCACCAAGGCGACGACGGGUAGCCGGCCUGAGAGGGCGACCGGCCACACUGGGACUGAGACACGGCCCAGACUCCUACGGGAGGCAGCAGUGGGGAAUAUUGCACAAUGGGCGAAAGCCUGAUGCAGCGACGCCGCGUGAGGGAUGACGGCCUUCGGGUUGUAAACCUCUUUCAGCAGGGAAGAAGCGAAAGUGACGGUACCUGCAGAAGAAGCGCCGGCUAACUACGUGCCAGCAGCCGCGGUAAUACGUAGGGCGCAAGCGUUGUCCGGAAUUAUUGGGCGUAAAGAGCUCGUAGGCGGCUUGUCACGUCGGUUGUGAAAGCCCGGGGCUUAACCCCGGGUCUGCAGUCGAUACGGGCAGGCUAGAGUUCGGUAGGGGAGAUCGGAAUUCCUGGUGUAGCGGUGAAAUGCGCAGAUAUCAGGAGGAACACCGGUGGCGAAGGCGGAUCUCUGGGCCGAUACUGACGCUGAGGAGCGAAAGCGUGGGGAGCGAACAG
Molecule: ribosomal RNA, 683 nt
Filed under: Streptomyces coelicoflavus
Lineage: Bacteria; Bacillati; Actinomycetota; Actinomycetes; Kitasatosporales; Streptomycetaceae
Description: bacterial SSU rRNA
Rfam family: Bacterial small subunit ribosomal RNA
Source: RNAcentral